GAUGAAGAACGUAGCAAAAUGCGAUAAGUAAUGUGAAUUGCAGAAUUCAGUGAAUCAUCGAAUCUUUGAACGCACAUUGCGCCCUCUGGUAUUCCGGGGGGCAUGCCUGUUCGAGCGUCAUUACAACCCUCAAGCUUUGCUUGGUAUUGGACAUUGCCAGUUUCUGGCAGGUCUUAAAAUCAGUGGCGGUGCCAUUUGGCUUCAAGCGUAGUAAUUCUUCUCGCUUUGGAGAUCCAAGUGGUUACUUGCCAAUAACCCCCAAUUUUUUCAGGUUGACCUCGGAUCAGGUAGGGAUACCCGCUGAACUUAAGCAUAUCAAUAAGCGGAGGA
RNAcentral lists this unclassified non-coding RNA (330 nucleotides) under soil metagenome. RNAcentral's name for it is "partial contains 5.8S ribosomal RNA, internal transcribed spacer 2, and large subunit ribosomal RNA". The stretch from base 1 to 120 matches the Rfam family "5.8S ribosomal RNA", at positions 35 to 154 of the family's 154-position model. The record is from RNAcentral.